CUGGGUGUGCUUUACGGACAAGCGCACGACAAUGACGUAGAGAGCAUAGCAACCACCCUGGGAGGGCCUAUGAGCCAUAACAACCAGUUGACCAAUCAACACAGGGCAAGCCCUCCAAGCCUGGAGGCACACCAAUCCUGAGCCUGUGCGUACCCCUAGACACUCCCCUUACGCUGCCCUAUAAGAUCUUUUGGGAGCCCGUUGGAGCCGUCUUUUUCUAGCCGUCUGCCAUGGCGGGUGGGUGAAAGACCCGAGCUAACAUGGGGUUAGUUCGUUAAAUUACAAUAAAGCCUCGUGCAGUUUGCAGCAAGCUCUCGAAUCCGCCUGGUGAUUGGGGUGACCGCGAACCUGGCCUGAGACCCCGGAUACUUGAGUUUUCGGGGGUCUAACAUUUUGGGGGCUCGUCCGCGAUUUGCGACCACCCUUCACCUGAGUGGAUUCGAUCUUGGAGUUUAUAAUGUCAGACAGACUGCCAGAUCCGGACAGUGACCCAAAGUCUCCAAAGAAGAUUACGAGGCACCUCAGUUCCUGCACCUGGACCAGUGAGCGAGAUGCUCAGAUGUGAAACCUGCCGCCUGCCAGAACCUGGCCGAGAAUGUGGACAAAGCUGCUGGACACUGGAAAAUUGAUUGUACCCCUUUGCCUAGACAAAACAAGGUUUCUGCUUCUGGCUGACAUCUGAGUAUCAGUUGCUGACUACAGGCUGUUCUAAGUAGACUGCGAGCCCUAAACUUGCUGUGGAUGUGAACCAGUUCAGCUGAUAUGGACACCCCCUGUCUCUGCAACAGUGUCUGCUAACCAGAAGCCCCUGAUGAAUUCCCCAUUGCCUAAAUUCCUUUUUGCUUUUGACUAGCAUUUCAACCUUCUGGGGUCCCUAACUUCGUCCCAAAGUCAGCAGGAAGCAGUUUGGAAAAGAAUUUCGCCGUCCAUUUUCCCUGGUUAAAAUGCUAAGUCAAAAGGAACUCCCUUACAUGGGGAUGCCAAUAUCUAUCACUCCCUGAUGGGGAUGCUAGAGAGACAGCAAUUCCAUGAUUGGAAUUUCCAGAAAAGAAAAUGGGGGAAUGAAGGAACCGGCUUCCCUUUUGGCAGCCAUAAUGGUUAAACAUGUGCCUUUAUGACCUUGUCCUAGAAACCAGAAAGUCAGAUGCCUGUCUCGUGACAAGGAACCAAUCAGAAGUUAGCUGGUGGCGCUAUGCUUUACGACCCUGGGUGUGCUUUACGGACAAGCGCACGACAAUGACGUAGAGAGCAUAGCAACCACCCUGGGAGGGCCUAUGAGCCAUAACAACCAGUUGACCAAUCAACACAGGGCAAGCCCUCCAAGCCUGGAGGCACACCAAUCCUGAGCCUGUGCGUACCCCUAG
Molecule: long non-coding RNA, 1364 nt
Filed under: Cricetulus griseus (Chinese hamster)
Lineage: Eukaryota; Metazoa; Chordata; Mammalia; Rodentia; Cricetidae
Description: lncRNA (ENSCGRG00015042368.1)
Source: RNAcentral